GAUGAACGCUGGCGGCGUGCCUAAUACAUGCAAGUCGAGCGAACGGACGAGAAUCUUGCUUUUCUGAUGUUAGCGGCGGACGGGUGAGUAACACGUGGAUAACCUACCUAUAAGACUGGGAUAACUUCGGGAAACCGGAGCUAAUACCGGAUAAUAUUUUGAACCGCAUGGUUCAAAAGUGAAAGACGGUCUUGCUGUCCCUUAUAGAUGGAUCCGCGCUGCAUUAGCUAGUUGGUAAGGUAACGGCUUACCAAGGCAACGAUGCAUAGCCGACCUGAGAGGGUGAUCGGCCACACUGGAACUGAGACACGGUCCAGACUCCUACGGGAGGCAGCAGUAGGGAAUCUUCCGCAAUGGGCGAAAGCCUGACGGAGCAACGCCGCGUGAGUGAUGAAGGUCUUCGGAUCGUAAAACUCUGUUAUUAGGGAAGAACAUAUGUGUAAGUAACUGUGCACAUCUUGACGGUACCUAAUCAGAAAGCCACGGCUAACUACGUG
Molecule: ribosomal RNA, 497 nt
Filed under: uncultured bacterium
Lineage: Bacteria
Description: partial 16S ribosomal RNA
Rfam family: Bacterial small subunit ribosomal RNA
Source: RNAcentral